RNAcentral lists this ribosomal RNA (495 nucleotides) under uncultured bacterium. RNAcentral describes it as "partial 16S ribosomal RNA". It matches the Rfam family "Bacterial small subunit ribosomal RNA", at positions 28 to 507 of the family's 1533-position model. The record is from RNAcentral.
GACGAACGCUGGCGGCGUGCCUAAUACAUGCAAGUAGAGCGCUGAAGGAGGAGCUUGCUUCUCUGGAUGAGUUGCGAACGGGUGAGUAACGCGUAGGUAACCUGCCUGGUAGCGGGGGAUAACUAUUGGAAACGAUAGCUAAUACCGCAUAAGAGUAGAUGUUGCAUGACAUUUGCUUAAAAGGUGCAAUUGCAUCACUACCAGAUGGACCUGCGUUGUAUUAGCUAGUUGGUGGGGUAACGGCUCACCAAGGCGACGAUACAUAGCCGACCUGAGAGGGUGAUCGGCCACACUGGGACUGAGACACGGCCCAGACUCCUACGGGAGGCAGCAGUAGGGAAUCUUCGGCAAUGGACGGAAGUCUGACCGAGCAACGCCGCGUGAGUGAAGAAGGUUUUCGGAUCGUAAAGCUCUGUUGUAAGAGAAGAACGAGUGUGAGAGUGGAAAGUUCACACUGUGACGGUAUCUUAACAGAAAGGGACGGCUAACUACGUG